UCUAAUUAACCACUAAUCAACAAGUUGCCAAGGAACGUCCUUGGGCCUUUGGCAUCUAACAACUGUUAAUUGCAUUAAGAAAUAGAGAAACCUAAUUCUAGCUACCCAAACGUAUGGUGAUGUUGCUAGAUCAUGCAAUUUCCUAGGUUUUUACACCAAGGGUUACUUGUGUUUGAAUAAUUCAAGCAAUUACGGACUUCAAACUAUCCAAACUAACAAAUUAUCACUUUGCAAUCAAGAAUCAAUGGGCCCUAUUGAUCUAAAUAACAAAGCAACAAUAGAAUU
This 285-nucleotide long non-coding RNA is filed under the name Manihot esculenta (cassava). Its description in RNAcentral is "long non-coding RNA (MESC_LNC009696)". The record is from RNAcentral. Lineage: Eukaryota; Viridiplantae; Streptophyta; Magnoliopsida; Malpighiales; Euphorbiaceae.